Molecule: ribosomal RNA, 484 nt
Filed under: uncultured bacterium
Lineage: Bacteria
Description: partial 16S ribosomal RNA
Rfam family: Bacterial small subunit ribosomal RNA
Source: RNAcentral
AUUGAACGCUGGCGGCAGGCCUAACACAUGCAAGUCGAGCGGAUGAAGGGAGCUUGCUCCUGGAUUCAGCGGCGGACGGGUGAGUAAUGCCUAGGAAUCUGCCUGGUAGUGGGGGAUAACGUCCGGAAACGGGCGCUAAUACCGCAUACGUCCUGAGGGAGAAAGUGGGGGAUCUUCGGAACUCACGCUAUCAGAUGAGCCUAGGUCGGAUUAGCUAGUUGGUGGGGUAAAGGCCUACCAAGGCGACGAUCCGUAACUGGUCUGAGAGGAUGAUCAGUCACACUGGAACUGAGACACGGUCCAGACUCCUACGGGAGGCAGCAGUGGGGAAUAUUGGACAAUGGGCGAAAGCCUGAUCCAGCCAUGCCGCGUGUGUGAAGAAGGUCUUCGGAUUGUAAAGCACUUUUAGUUGGGAGGAAGGGCAGUAAGUUAAUACCUUGCUGUUUUGACGUUACCAACAGAAUAAGCACCGGCUAACUUCGUG